ACGUAGGGUGCGAGCGUUAAUCGGAAUUACUGGGCUUAAAGCGUGCGCAGGCGGUUGUGCAAGACAGGUGUGAAAUCCCCGGGCUUAACCUGGGAACUGCAUUUGUGACUGCACAGCUAGAGUUUGUCAGAGGGGGGUGGAAUUCCACGUGUAGCAGUGAAAUGCGUAGAGAUGUGGAAGAACACCGAUGGCGAAGGCAGCCCCCUGGGAUGAGACUGACGCUCAUGCACGAAAGCGUGGGGAGCAAACAGGAUUAGAUACCCUGGUAGUCCACGCCCUAAACGAUGUCGACUAGUUGUCGGGGGGUAACACCCUUGGUAACGCAGCUAACGCGUGAAGUCGACCGCCUGGGGAGUACGGUCGCAAGAUUA
This 371-nucleotide ribosomal RNA is filed under the name uncultured bacterium. RNAcentral's name for it is "bacterial SSU rRNA". It matches the Rfam family "Bacterial small subunit ribosomal RNA", at positions 525 to 896 of the family's 1533-position model. The record is from RNAcentral.